RNAcentral lists this ribosomal RNA (698 nucleotides) under Paraburkholderia sp. Its description in RNAcentral is "bacterial SSU rRNA". It matches the Rfam family "Bacterial small subunit ribosomal RNA", at positions 340 to 1029 of the family's 1533-position model. Lineage: Bacteria; Pseudomonadati; Pseudomonadota; Betaproteobacteria; Burkholderiales; Burkholderiaceae. The record is from RNAcentral.
UACGGGAGGCAGCAGUGGGGAAUUUUGGACAAUGGGGGCAACCCUGAUCCAGCAAUGCCGCGUGUGUGAAGAAGGCCUUCGGGUUGUAAAGCACUUUUGUCCGGAAAGAAAUCCUCUGCCCUAAUACGGCGGGGGGAUGACGGUACCGGAAGAAUAAGCACCGGCUAACUACGUGCCAGCAGCCGCGGUAAUACGUAGGGUGCAAGCGUUAAUCGGAAUUACUGGGCGUAAAGCGUGCGCAGGCGGUUCGCUAAGACAGAUGUGAAAUCCCCGGGCUUAACCUGGGAACUGCAUUUGUGACUGGCGGGCUAGAGUAUGGCAGAGGGGGGUAGAAUUCCACGUGUAGCAGUGAAAUGCGUAGAGAUGUGGAGGAAUACCGAUGGCGAAGGCAGCCCCCUGGGCCAAUACUGACGCUCAUGCACGAAAGCGUGGGGAGCAAACAGGAUUAGAUACCCUGGUAGUCCACGCCCUAAACGAUGUCAACUAGUUGUCGGGUCUUCAUUGACUUGGUAACGUAGCUAACGCGUGAAGUUGACCGCCUGGGGAGUACGGUCGCAAGAUUAAAACUCAAAGGAAUUGACGGGGACCCGCACAAGCGGUGGAUGAUGUGGAUUAAUUCGAUGCAACGCGAAAAACCUUACCUACCCUUGACAUGUAUGGAAUCCUGCUGAGAGGUGGGAGUGCCCGAAAGGGAGCCA